RNAcentral lists this ribosomal RNA (408 nucleotides) under uncultured bacterium. Its description in RNAcentral is "bacterial SSU rRNA". It matches the Rfam family "Bacterial small subunit ribosomal RNA", at positions 350 to 751 of the family's 1533-position model. The record is from RNAcentral.
AGCAGUGGGGAAUUUUGGACAAUGGGCGCAAGCCUGAUCCAGCAAUGCCGCGUGAGUGAAGAAGGCCUUCGGGCUGUAAAGCUCUUUUGUCAGGGAAGAAACGGUGAGAGCUAAUAUCUCUUGCUAAUGACGGUACCUGAAGAAUAAGCACCGGCUAACUACGUGCCAGCAGCCGCGGUAAUACGUAGGGUGCAAGCGUUAAUCGGAAUUACUGGGCGUAAAGCGUGCGCAGGCGGUUUUGUAAGUUUGUCGUGAAAGCCCCGGGCUCAACCUGGGAAUUGCGAUGAAGACUGCAAGGCUUGAAUCUGGCAGAGGGGGGUAGAAUUCCACGUGUAGCAGUGAAAUGCGUAGAGAUGUGGAGGAACACCGAUGGCGAAGCAGCCCCCUGGGUCAAGAUUGACGCUCAUG